CAGCCGCCGCGGUAAUACGAAAGGUGCAAGCGUUACUCGGAAUUACUGGGCGUAAAGCGUGCGUAGGUGGUGGUUUAAGUCCGUUGUGAAAGCCCUGGGCUCAACCUGGGAAUUGCAGUGGAUACUGGGUCACUAGAGUGUGGUAGAGGAUAGUGGAAUUUCCGGUGUAGCAGUGAAACGCGUAGAGAUCGGAAGGAACAUCUGUGGCGAAGGCGACUAUCUGGGCCAACACUGACACUGAGGCACGAAAGCGUGGGGAGCAAACAGGAUUAGAUACCCCUGUAGUCCCUGUCUCUUAUAC
Molecule: ribosomal RNA, 301 nt
Filed under: uncultured bacterium
Lineage: Bacteria
Description: partial 16S ribosomal RNA
Rfam family: Bacterial small subunit ribosomal RNA
Source: RNAcentral